GGUGCAAGCGUUAAUCGGAAUUACUGGGCGUAAAGCGUGCGCAGGCGGUUUUGUAAGUCUGACGUGAAAUCCCCGGGCUCAACCUGGGAAUUGCGUUGGAGACUGCAAGGCUGGAAUCUGGCAGAGGGGGGUAGAAUUCCACGUGUAGCAGUGAAAUGCGUAGAGAUGUGGAGGAACACCGAUGGCGAAGGCAGCCCCCUGGGUCAAGAUUGACGCUCAUGCACGAAAGCGUGGGGAGCAAACAGGAUUAGAUACCCUGGUAGUCCACGCCCUAAACGAUGUCUACUAGUUGUCGGGUUUUAAUUAACUUGGUAACGCAGCUAACGCGUGAAGUAGACCGCCUGGGGAGUACGGUCGCAAGAUUAAAACUCAAAGGAAUUGACGG
This 385-nucleotide ribosomal RNA is filed under the name uncultured bacterium. RNAcentral describes it as "bacterial SSU rRNA". It matches the Rfam family "Bacterial small subunit ribosomal RNA", at positions 531 to 916 of the family's 1533-position model. The record is from RNAcentral.